GGGGUUGUGGCUCAGCGGUAGAGCACUCGCCUAGCACAUGUGAGGCCCUGGGUUCAAUCCUCAGCACCACA
RNAcentral lists this transfer RNA (71 nucleotides) under Marmota monax (woodchuck). RNAcentral describes it as "tRNA.Ala". It matches the Rfam family "tRNA". From Rfam's summary of the family: Transfer RNA (tRNA) molecules are approximately 80 nucleotides in length. Their secondary structure includes four short double-helical elements and three loops (D, anti-codon, and T loops). Further hydrogen bonds mediate the characteristic L-shaped molecular structure. tRNAs have two regions of fundamental functional importance: the anti-codon, which is responsible for specific mRNA codon recognition, and the 3' end, to which the tRNAs corresponding amino acid is attached (by aminoacyl-tRNA synthetases). tRNAs cope with the degeneracy of the genetic code in two manners: having more than one tRNA (with a specific anti-codon) for a particular amino acid; and 'wobble' base-pairing, i.e. permitting non-standard base-pairing at the 3rd anti-codon position. Lineage: Eukaryota; Metazoa; Chordata; Mammalia; Rodentia; Sciuridae. The record is from RNAcentral.